RNAcentral lists this ribosomal RNA (490 nucleotides) under uncultured bacterium. Its description in RNAcentral is "partial 16S ribosomal RNA". It matches the Rfam family "Bacterial small subunit ribosomal RNA", at positions 30 to 507 of the family's 1533-position model. The record is from RNAcentral.
AUUGAACGCUGGCGGCAGGCCUAACACAUGCAAGUCGAACGGUAACAGGAAGAAGCUUGCUUCUUUGCUGACGAGUGGCGGACGGGUGAGUAAUGUCUGGGAAACUGCCUGAUGGAGGGGGAUAACUACUGGAAACGGUAGCUAAUACCGCAUAACGUCGCAAGACCAAAGAGGGGGACCUUCGGGCCUCUUGCCAUCGGAUGUGCCCAGAUGGGAUUAGCUAGUAGGUGGGGUAACGGCUCACCUAGGCGACGAUCCCUAGCUGGUCUGAGAGGAUGACCAGCCACACUGGAACUGAGACACGGUCCAGACUCCUACGGGAGGCAGCAGUGGGGAAUAUUGCACAAUGGGCGCAAGCCUGAUGCAGCCAUGCCGCGUGUACGAAGAAGGCCUUCGGGUUGUAAAGUACUUUCAGCGGGGAGGAAGGGAGUAAAGUUAAUACCUUUGCUCAUUGACGUUACCCGCAGAAGAAGCACCGGCUAACUCCGUG